The sequence is a small nuclear RNA, 164 nucleotides long. Its record names the gene U1. It matches the Rfam family "U1 spliceosomal RNA". From Rfam's summary of the family: U1 is a small nuclear RNA (snRNA) component of the spliceosome (involved in pre-mRNA splicing). The record is from Ensembl.
AUACUUACCUGGCAGGGGCGAUACCAUGAUCACGAAGGUGGUUCACCCAGGGUGAGGCUUUGCCAUUGCACUUGGGUGGUCCUGAUCCUUGCGAAUUCCCCAAAUGCGGGAAUCUCGACUGCAUAAUUUCUGGUAGUGGGGGACUGCGUUCGCGCUCUCCCCUG